AGGGCGAACGAGUUUGUCGGAUUAGACCCGAAACCAGUCGAUCUAGCCAUGGACAGGCUGAAGGUGCGGUAACACGCACUGGAGGGCCGAACCGGUGUCUGUUGAAAAAGCCUCGGAUGAUCUGUGGUUAGGGGUGAAAGGCCAAUCAAGGCUGGAGAUAGCUGGUUCUCCGCGAAAGCUAUUGAGGUAGCGCCUCACGUGAAUACUCCAGGGGGUAGAGCACUGGAUGGGCUAGGGGUCCAUAACGGAUUACCAAACCUAACCAAACUCCGAAUACCUGGAAGUACUGCGUGGGAGACACACGGCGGGUGCUAACAUCCGUCGUGAAGAGGGAAACAACCCUGACCGCCAGCUAAGGUCCCCAAAUCGUGGCUAAGUUGGAAAGGAUGUGAGGAUCCCAAAACAACCAGGAGGUUGGCUUAGAAGCAGCCAUCCUUUAAAGAAAGCGUAACAGCUCACUGGUCUAAACAAGGGUCUUUGCGCCGAAAAUGUAACGGGGAUCAAGCCACGUACCGAAGCUGCGGGUGUGCGAAAGCACGCGGUAGCGGAGCGUUCCGUAAGCCAGUGAAGGACGACCCGUGAGGGCGUCUGGAGGUAUCGGAAGAGCGAAUGCUGACAUGAGUAACGAAAACAGUGUGAGAAACACUGUCGCCGAAAGUCCAAGGGUUCCUGCGUAAAGCUAAUCUGCGCAGGGUUAGCCGGCCCCUAAGGCGAGGCAGAAAUGCGUAGUCGAUGGGAACCACGUUAAUAUUCGUGGGCCAGCGGGUGGUGACGAAUCCAAAUCGUAGUUCGGGAUUAUCGGAUUUCCCGGGCUGCCGGAGGGUUCCAGGAAAUAGCCCCCGCAUCAGACCGUACCCGAAACCGACACAGGUGGACUGGUAGAGCAUACCAAGGCGCUUGAGAGAACGAUGCUGAAGGAACUCGGCAAAUUGCCCUCGUAACUUCGGGAGAAGAGGGCCCCGUGUGCGGGCAACCGUGCGCGGGGGGCACAGACCAGGGGGUGGCGACUGUUUAACAAAAACACAGGGCUCUGCGAAGCCGCAAGGCGACGUAUAGGGUCUGACGCCUGCCCGGUGCCGGAAGGUUAAGAGGAGGGGUGCAAGCUCUGAAUCGAAGCCCCGGUAAACGGCGGCCGUAACUAUAACGGUCCUAAGGUAGCGAAAUUCCUUGUCGGGUAAGUUCC
This 1183-nucleotide ribosomal RNA is filed under the name freshwater bacterium LH6-2. Its description in RNAcentral is "bacterial LSU rRNA". It matches the Rfam family "Bacterial large subunit ribosomal RNA", at positions 689 to 1984 of the family's 2925-position model. The record is from RNAcentral.